This 252-nucleotide ribosomal RNA is filed under the name uncultured bacterium. RNAcentral describes it as "partial 16S ribosomal RNA". It matches the Rfam family "Bacterial small subunit ribosomal RNA", at positions 524 to 776 of the family's 1533-position model. The record is from RNAcentral.
UACGAAGGGGGCGAGCGUUGUUCGGAAUUACUGGGCGUAAAGGCGCGUAGGCGGCCGAUCAAGUCAGAUGUGAAAGUCCUGGGCUUAACCUGGGGACUGCAUUUGAUACUGAUUGGCUUGAAUGCAGGAGAGGAUAGCGGAAUUCCCAGUGUAGAGGUGAAAUUCGUAGAUAUUGGGAAGAACACCGGUGGCGAAGGCGGCUAUCUGGACUGUGAUUGACGCUGAGGAGCGAAAGCGUGGGGAGCGAACAGG